CUUAUGUUCUCCACCCACUACUUAGUAAGAACUCCUUAACAACUUAAAGCUUUAUCCCUCUGAGUACCAGAAAAGUGAUUUGAGUAGUUAUUGAGCAGGGAGAAUAAACUGCUUGCUCCGGGCAGGGAGGAAGCUUAUGGAAAUGAUAUUAGACCUUCAGCAAAGUGCACAGCUGCAUCAUACAGAAGCCGAGACUCAAAUUGACAGGCAAAUAAGCCAGAUCACGGAAGGGGCCUCUGUGUGGCAGCUCUGAGCUCCCAAGUGUUGGACAACUAGGCAAAAAGUGCACUGGAACAGGGCAGAAAAUAUCACACUAACUUCAGGCAACUGUUGCAUUUUCGUGGCCUGGAAAGUAACAUUUUCUGUAGAUGUCAACUUCUGUCUGGUGUGAUGCUCCAUUCUUCUGGUGAUGUCACAUGCAGCAUUGAGUAAUAUUGGUAAAAUGGAAGAGGUCUCUUAGAAUAAGGUGUCCACCUGCAGUUCAGUUUUGCAGCUGGAUCAUUUGUAUCACUUCACUAACUGCUGAGCAAGAGAAGCAAAUCUUGGGAGCAUGAUCAUUCUGAUACCCUCAGUGUGAAAGAAAACAUUUCACAAGAAAAAGGAAACUGAAGAAGUUAAUUGUACCAGAGCAGAAUCCAGCAAAGUGAGAAUGAAAAUGAAAUGAACCAUGAGAAACUCCUACCUGUCUUAUUUGGAGCUACAGCAAAAGCUGUGAAUACACAGUACUGCCUCUGCAUCACUGCUUGAACUGGGAUAGCUCUGGUGCCUCCUCUCUGCCCACAGUACUCACUGCUGCCCCUUGCCAUAGAGAUGAAGAAGAUGUGCCUGCGUUACAACAGGUGGGUCGACUAUGGAAUCCUAUGAGAGUAUGAGCAACACAUAAUGGAUUUCAUUUCCAGUAAGGAUCCACAAAGUCAAAACAUUACAUAAGAUUUUUUUUAUAAGGAAAGAAAGUGAAGCACCACAACAGCUGGUUUAAGGACCCUCGAUCUGUGAAGGCAUCUCAUUACAGGGUAGAUGACCCUCUCUGAAUGCUGAGGAGUAGCCAGGGGACAGAGUAGCUUUUGGGGUCAUUCUAUCUCUACUCAAUAGUCUUAGCACAAGACACUGAGCACCUAGGCCUUAAAUCCCAAA
Molecule: long non-coding RNA, 1134 nt
Organism: Tympanuchus pallidicinctus (lesser prairie-chicken)
Lineage: Eukaryota; Metazoa; Chordata; Aves; Galliformes; Phasianidae
Exons: 8
Source: RefSeq, a predicted model, not a curated record